GGCGCGUAGUGUAAAGGUAACACAGCGGUCUCUAAAACCGCAGCGGUCUGCCCGCGGUAAUUCCGGUUCGAACCCGGACGCGCCCGCCA
RNAcentral lists this transfer RNA (89 nucleotides) under Caudoviricetes sp. Its description in RNAcentral is "tRNA-OTHER". It matches the Rfam family "tRNA". Rfam says of the family: Transfer RNA (tRNA) molecules are approximately 80 nucleotides in length. Their secondary structure includes four short double-helical elements and three loops (D, anti-codon, and T loops). Lineage: Duplodnaviria; Heunggongvirae; Uroviricota; Caudoviricetes. The record is from RNAcentral.